Molecule: ribosomal RNA, 492 nt
Filed under: uncultured bacterium
Lineage: Bacteria
Description: partial 16S ribosomal RNA
Rfam family: Bacterial small subunit ribosomal RNA
Source: RNAcentral
AGUGAACGCUGGCGGCAGGCCUAACACAUGCAAGUCGAACGGCAGCACAGUAAGAGCUUGCUCUUACGGGUGGCGAGUGGCGGACGGGUGACGUAUACAUCGGAACCUACUUUUUCGUGGGGGAUAACGUAGCGAAACUUACGCCAAUACCGCAUACGACCUACGGGUGAAAGCAGGGGAUCUUCGGACCUUGCGCGAUUGAAUGAGCCGAUGUCGGAUUAGCUAGUUGGCGGGGUAAAGGCCCACCAAGGCGACGAUCCGUAGCUGGUCUGAGAGGAUGAUCAGCCACACUGGAACUGAGACACGGUCCAGACUCCUACGGGAGGCAGCAGUGGGGAAUAUUGGACAAUGGGCGCAAGCCUGAUCCAGCCAUACCGCGUGUGUGAAGAAGGCCUUCGGGUUGUAAAGCCCUUUUGUUGGGAAAGAAAAGCAGCAGGUUAAUACGCCGCUGUUCUGACGGUACCGGAAGAAUAAGCACCGGCUAACUUCGUG